CGUGUAGGCGGACUCGCAAGUCGGUUGUGAAAUCCCUGGGCUCAACCUAGGAACUGCAUCCGAAACUGCUUGUCUUGAGUAAUGGAGAGGGUGGCGGAAUUCCCGGUGUAGAGGUGAAAUUCGUAGAUAUCGGGAGGAACAUCAGUGGCGAAGGCGGCCACCUGGACAUUCACUGACGCUGAGACGCGAAAGCGUGGGGAGCAAACA
Molecule: ribosomal RNA, 207 nt
Filed under: uncultured bacterium
Lineage: Bacteria
Description: partial 16S ribosomal RNA
Rfam family: Bacterial small subunit ribosomal RNA
Source: RNAcentral